RNAcentral lists this long non-coding RNA (266 nucleotides) under Musa acuminata (dwarf banana). RNAcentral's name for it is "long non-coding RNA (MACU_LNC001860)". Lineage: Eukaryota; Viridiplantae; Streptophyta; Magnoliopsida; Zingiberales; Musaceae. The record is from RNAcentral.
UCUUGUGCAUGAAAUCAUGACUGUUGGUACACACUUUAAGGAGGCAAACAAUUUCCUCUGGCCUUUCAAGUUGAAGGCACCAUUGGGUGGCCUGAAAAAGAAAAGAAGGCACUAUGUUGAGGGAGGAGAUGCUGGAAACCGUGAGGAUUACAUCAAUGAGCUCAUCAGAAGGAUGAACUAAUGACUGAGUUUGCUUCUUCAGUGUCUUAAUUUUUCUGUAGAAGGAAAAUAAUUUGAAUUCAGUUUUUAGUUAGCAUUGGAAUAGU